RNAcentral lists this ribosomal RNA (253 nucleotides) under uncultured bacterium. RNAcentral describes it as "partial 16S ribosomal RNA". It matches the Rfam family "Bacterial small subunit ribosomal RNA", at positions 524 to 776 of the family's 1533-position model. The record is from RNAcentral.
UACGUAGGGGGCAAGCGUUGUCCGGAAUCAUUGGGCGUAAAGAGCGUGUAGGCGGCCCGAUAAGUCCGCUGUGAAAGUCCAGGGCUCAACCCUGGAAUGCCGGUGGAUACUGUCGGGCUCGAAUCCGGAAGAGGUGAGUGGAAUUCCUGGUGUAGCGGUGAAAUGCGCAGAUAUCAGGAGGAACACCGGUGGCGAAGGCGGGUCCCUGGACAACUUCUGACGCUGAGGCACGAAAGCUAGGGGAGCAAACAGG